RNAcentral lists this ribosomal RNA (378 nucleotides) under uncultured bacterium. RNAcentral describes it as "bacterial SSU rRNA". It matches the Rfam family "Bacterial small subunit ribosomal RNA", at positions 524 to 898 of the family's 1533-position model. The record is from RNAcentral.
CACGUAGGCACCAAGCGUUGUCCGGAUUUAUUGGGCGUAAAGAGCUCGUAGGCGGUUCGGUAAGUCGGGUGUGAAAUCCCUGGGCUCAACCCAGGAAGUGCACCCGAUACUGCUGUGACUUGAGUACGGUAGGGGAGUGCGGAAUUCCUGGUGUAGCGGUGGAAUGCGCAGAUAUCAGGAGGAACACCAAUGGCGAAGGCAGCACUCUGGGCCGAAACUGACGCUGAGGAGCGAAAGCGUGGGGAGCGAACAGGAUUAGAUACCCUGGUAGUCCACGCCGUAAACGUUGGGCACUAGGUGUGGGCUCUAACCAACGGAGUCCGUGCCGCAGCUAACGCAUUAAGUGCCCCGCCUGGGGAGUACGGCCGCAAGGCUAAA